CCAACCGGGAUUGCCUCAGUAACGGCGAGUGAAGCGGCAAGAGCUCAAAUUUGAAAUCUGGCCCCUCCGGGGUCCGAGUUGUAAUUUGCAGAGGAUGCUUCGGGUGCGGCCCCUGUCUAAGUGCCCUGGAACGGGCCGUCAGAGAGGGUGAGAAUCCCGUCUUGGGCAGGGUGCCCGUGCCCGUGUGAAGCUCCUUCGACGAGUCGAGUUGUUUGGGAAUGCAGCUCAAAAUGGGUGGUAAAUUUCAUCUAAAGCUAAAUACCGGCCGGAGACCGAUAGCGCACAAGUAGAGUGAUCGAAAGAUGAAAAGCACUUUGAAAAGAGAGUUAAACAGCACGUGAAAUUGUUGAAAGGGAAGCGCUUGCAACCAGACUCGGCCUCGGGGUUCAGCCAGCAUUCGUGCUGGUGUACUUCCCCGGGGCCGGGCCAGCGUCGGUUUGGGCGGCCGGUCAAAGGCCCCAGGAAUGUAUCGUCCUCCGGGACGUCUUAUAGCCUGGGGUGCAAUGCGGCCAGCCUGGACCGAGGAACGCGCUUCGGCACGGACGCUGGCGUAAUGGUCGCAAACGACCCGUCUUGAAACACGGACCAA
Molecule: ribosomal RNA, 589 nt
Filed under: Pyricularia grisea
Lineage: Eukaryota; Fungi; Ascomycota; Sordariomycetes; Magnaporthales; Pyriculariaceae
Description: eukaryotic LSU rRNA
Rfam family: Eukaryotic large subunit ribosomal RNA
Source: RNAcentral